UUUGUAGAAUGAACCGGCGAGUUACGAUUUGAUGCAAGGUUAAGCAGUAAAUGUGGAGCCGUAGCGAAAGCGAGUCUGAAUAGGGCGUUUAGUAUUUGGUCGUAGACCCGAAACCAGGUGAUCUACCCUUGGUCAGGUUGAAGUUCAGGUAACACUGAAUGGAGGACCGAACCGACUUACGUUGAAAAGUGAGCGGAUGAACUGAGGGUAGCGGAGAAAUUCCAAUCGAACCUGGAGAUAGCUGGUUCUCUCCGAAAUAGCUUUAGGGCUAGCCUCAAGUGAUGAUUAUUGGAGGUAGA
This 299-nucleotide ribosomal RNA is filed under the name Staphylococcus aureus. Its description in RNAcentral is "partial 23S ribosomal RNA". It matches the Rfam family "Bacterial large subunit ribosomal RNA", at positions 607 to 906 of the family's 2925-position model. Lineage: Bacteria; Bacillati; Bacillota; Bacilli; Caryophanales; Staphylococcaceae. The record is from RNAcentral.